GUGCCAGCCGCCGCGGUAAUACGUAGGGGGCGAGCGCUACCCGGAAUUACUGGGCGUAAUGGGGGCGUAGGCGGCCCGGCAAGUCAAGUGUGAAAUCCGGCGGCUCAACCGCUGGGCUGCGCUUGAAACUGCCGGGCUUGAGUGCAGCAGAGGGAGACGGAAUUGCCGGUGUAGGGGUGAAAUCCGUAGAUAUCGGCAAGAACGCCGGUGGGGAAGCCGGUCUCCUGGGCUGUUACUGACGCUGAGGCCCGAAAGCUGGGGGAGCGAACCGGAUUAGAUACCCGGGUAGUCCCAGCCGUAAACGAUGCUCACUAGGUGUGGGGAGAUAAAUCCUCCGUGCUGAAGCUAACGCGCUAAGUGAGCCGCCUGGGGAGUAUGCCCGCAAGGGUGAAACUUAAAUGAAUUGACGGGG
This 412-nucleotide ribosomal RNA is filed under the name uncultured prokaryote. RNAcentral describes it as "bacterial SSU rRNA". It matches the Rfam family "Bacterial small subunit ribosomal RNA", at positions 505 to 918 of the family's 1533-position model. The record is from RNAcentral.